Micropterus dolomieu (smallmouth bass) is the source of this 638-nucleotide long non-coding RNA. RefSeq lists it as uncharacterized. The transcript is spliced from 2 exons. The record is from RefSeq and is a predicted model, not a curated record. Lineage: Eukaryota; Metazoa; Chordata; Actinopteri; Centrarchiformes; Centrarchidae.
GUAGGCUACACUAUGUAUUUCUGCCGUUAAAAUCGCCAGAGCAACAACAACUAGACUAUCCAGCAUGUUGGCAACACAAAAGUACCACUCAGACUAACUUCCCGGUUGGCUUGCAGCAGGAUGUGUUAUUGGCCACCAACAGAGCGUUCCCCUUGGAACGUGGCGUCACAUGAACACUAUGAAUAGGCCUGACGUUAGUAGCUGCUGAACAGCGGGUACGGGUUCGUUCGUUACCUCUCUCCGCCUCGUCCGGUUGGUUGUUGGUGUCUUCAUACAGCCUUUCAAAAUUGUUUAAUUUGUCUGAGAGAUCUUGUCGUCCAAUUGUUUGGAGAAGCCCGGACAGGAAGCCCGUGUUGUCGGCUGCCAGCUUGCCUCUCUCCGUCAGAACCUGAAACAGCUGGCGUCCGGUGGUCUUUCUUCCUGUUUGGUCAGACACGCCCAUCUGUUCAAGUCUUUAAAAGCUGCGUUGAACCAAGAUGUCUCUCUCUUCCUCGUGACCUCUCCCCUGGAAGGCGGGUGCCUUUCAGGAGCUCCUUUUCUUUCGGUUGUUUGUUUUGAGUAUGAUGAGUUCGAGUGUACUUGAGUUAAUUAUAAGUGAAGGUAACUUUAAUAAAACCUUAUGGUUCAUUUAAACUGUU